AGUGAACGCUGGCGGUAGGCCUAACACAUGCAAGUCGAACGGCAGCACAGUAAGAGCUUGCUCUUACGGGUGGCGAGUGGCGGACGGGUGAGGAAUACAUCGGAAUCUACUUUUUCGUGGGGGAUAACGUAGGGAAACUUACGCUAAUACCGCAUACGACCUACGGGUGAAAGCAUGGGAUCUUCGGACCUUGCGCGAUUGAAUGAGCCGAUGUCGGAUUAGCUAGUUGGCGGGGUAAAGGCCCACCAAGGCGACGAUCCGUAGCUGGUCUGAGAGGAUGACCAGCCACACUGGAACUGAGACACGGUCCAGACUCCUACGAGAGGCAGCAGUGGGGAAUAUUGGACAAUGGGCGCAAGCCUGAUCCAGCCAUACCGCGUGGGUGAAGAAGGCCUUCGGGUUGUAAAGCCCUUUUGUUGGGAAAGAAAAGCAGCAGGUUAAUACCCCGCUGUUCUGACGGUACCCAAAGAAUAAGCACCGGCUAACUUCGUG
RNAcentral lists this ribosomal RNA (492 nucleotides) under uncultured bacterium. RNAcentral's name for it is "partial 16S ribosomal RNA". It matches the Rfam family "Bacterial small subunit ribosomal RNA", at positions 29 to 507 of the family's 1533-position model. The record is from RNAcentral.